UAAUGAGACCACCGGCGACAAUCCGGAGGAAGGUGGGGAUGACGUCAAGUCGUCAUCGCCGUGAUAGGUGGGGCUACACACGUCAUACAAUGGGUGGUACAAAGGGUUGACAACCCGCGAGGGGGAUCUAGUUCUAUAAACCCAGUCGUAGUCCGGAUUGCAGUGUCCAACUCGACUGCAUGAAGUUGGUAUGGCUAGUAAUCGUGGAUCAGAAUGUCACGGUGAAUAUGUUGCCGGGUCUGGUACACGCCGCCCGUCACACCAUGGGAGCGGGUCUCGCCAGAAGUUGGUAGCCUAACCUCAAGGAGGGCGCUUACCACGGCGGGGUUCGUGAUUGGGGUGAAGUGGUAACAAGGUAGCCGUAUCGGAAGGCGCGGCCGGAUCUCCU
This 388-nucleotide ribosomal RNA is filed under the name uncultured bacterium. RNAcentral's name for it is "bacterial SSU rRNA". It matches the Rfam family "Bacterial small subunit ribosomal RNA", at positions 1141 to 1528 of the family's 1533-position model. The record is from RNAcentral.